This is a long non-coding RNA of Folsomia candida, 621 nucleotides long. RefSeq lists it as uncharacterized. Lineage: Eukaryota; Metazoa; Arthropoda; Collembola; Entomobryomorpha; Isotomidae. The record is from RefSeq and is a predicted model, not a curated record. The transcript has 3 exons.
UCAACCUUGUGUCGAGACGCACGUUAGGGAGACAAAUCGACGGUCCAUUUGACAUUGCUAGACUGAAUCUCAUAGCGAAACUUAAGCUUAAGAUUUAGAGUUUGUUGAAGGUGAUGAGCAAGAACCAAUCGGCAAAUCAGUCAGAAUCAAGUGGAAAAAUGAAGUAUGUGUUGCAAAAAUAAUCGCAAUUGGCAAGAAAAGGGCGAUGAGAAAGGAGGAAAGCCGACUAGCUAUUGUUGCUGCUAACGAGUCUUUUGCUGAAAAGGAAGCACCACCGGAAACUAUCUUGGGAUAUAAAAGGUCCCAUUUAAUUUCGCGUUCGCAAGAUGAUGGGAUUUUCGACCCAGACCAGUUUAUUCCUGCAAAAAUAAACCGAGCGGAUACUGCAGUGGCAGUUUCCACUUCUAUUGCAAAAACUACAGAUUUUGAAUUUACAUUGGGGCUGGUGCCGGUUGGAGUCGCCGAGUUACCCGACGGAGUCGACCGAAUUGAAAUUGAUGGCGGGAUUGAAGAACCUCAGGUGUCGUGAGAUUGUUUCACGUGAAAUUAUUUUUAGUUAUUUCAUGCAAUUUUCCUGUGCCUGGUCUGCAGAGUGUUCCAGCGACAAAUGAAAACUUUGAG